GUUUCACAAUGCAACAGGUCACACAGUGGAGGCAAAGUUUACAAAGGAAUGGUAUAGAACAACUACAAAAACCACAGAAGAAACUGGCAACCUAGAAACGAGAUUAUCCAGUAAUAACUCAAACAAUGGUUGAUGGUUGACUGUCUUCAGGCGCUCCCACUCAACUGUGCCUACAAUUUCCACUGGAUUUCAACCGCUCCCUCCCACCAAGUCGCUCCGACCCUCACAGAAUGAGUCUGCUCCUCCAACCCAGGCCCUGCACCAUCUGUGGAAGGAAAGAACCCAAACUGCGAACUGCAAUCCAUCAGCAGUAUCAUGGCAAGGGCAGGAACUAAAAUAAUGAUUACAGUGACUCCACUUCCAGCUAAAAGACUCCAGGCAAGACGAUGAAUCAUCACUAUUCCCUAUAAUUAAAUAAAGGCCAUCACACAUAACUGAUCAGUAAUGGUCAUCAGGAAUGUAAGUUGCAGGUGGUUGUACCAAUAAAAUCAAUAAUGAAACAUUAUGGAAAAUAAAGGACUGGAAUGCUA
Long non-coding RNA from Conger conger (European conger), 530 nucleotides. RefSeq lists it as uncharacterized. Lineage: Eukaryota; Metazoa; Chordata; Actinopteri; Anguilliformes; Congridae. The record is from RefSeq and is a predicted model, not a curated record. The transcript is spliced from 3 exons.